UGCGAGUGAAGCGGGAAAAGCUCAAAUUUAAAUCUGGCGGUCUCCGGCCGUCCGAGUUGUAAUUUAGAGAAGCGUUAUCCGUGCUGGACCGUGUAUAAGUCUCCUGGAAUGGAGCGUCAUAGAGGGUGAGAAUCCCGUCUUUGACACGGACUACCAGUGCAUUGUGAUGCGCUCUCGACGAGUCGAGUUGUUUGGGAAUGCAGCUCAAAAUGGGUGGUAAAUGCCAUCUAAAGCUAAAUAUUGGCGAGAGACCGAUAGCGAACAAGUACCGUGAGGGAAAGAUGAAAAGAACUUUGGAAAGAGAGUUAAACAGUACGUGAAAUUGUCGAAAGGGAAACGGUUGCAGUCAGUCGCGUCCGCCGGGGAUCAACCUUGCUUUUGCUUGGCGUAUUUCCCGGUGGAUGGGUCAGCAUCAGUUUUGACCGCAGUUGAAAGGCUGGAGGAAUGUGGCACCUUCGGGUGUGUUAUAGCCUCCUGUCAUAUGCUGCGGUUGGGACUGAGGAACUCAGCACGCCGAAAGGCCGGGAUUCGUCCACGUUCGUGCUUAGGAUGCUGGCAUAAUGUCUGUAACCGACCCGUCUUGAAACACGGACCAAGGAGUCUAACAUGCACGCGAGUGUUUGGGUGGCAACCCGAGCGCGUAAUGAAAGUGAAAGUUGAGACCUCUGUCGUGGAGGGCAUCGACGCCCGGACCAGAACUUUUGGGACGGAUCCGCGGUAGAGCGUGUAUGUUGGGACCCGAAAGAUGGUGAACUAUGCCUGAAUAGGGCGAAGCCAGAGGAAACUCUGGUGGAGGCUCGUAGCGAUUCUGACGUGCAAAUCGAUCGUCGAAUUGGGU
RNAcentral lists this ribosomal RNA (838 nucleotides) under Schizophyllum radiatum. RNAcentral describes it as "eukaryotic LSU rRNA". It matches the Rfam family "Eukaryotic large subunit ribosomal RNA", at positions 88 to 916 of the family's 3401-position model. Lineage: Eukaryota; Fungi; Basidiomycota; Agaricomycetes; Agaricales; Schizophyllaceae. The record is from RNAcentral.